This 293-nucleotide ribosomal RNA is filed under the name uncultured bacterium. Its description in RNAcentral is "partial 16S ribosomal RNA". It matches the Rfam family "Archaeal small subunit ribosomal RNA", at positions 455 to 747 of the family's 1478-position model. The record is from RNAcentral.
GUGCCAGCCGCCGCGGUAAUACCGGCAGCACGAGUGAUGGCCGAUUUUAUUGGGCCUAAAGCGUCCGUAGCUGGCCGCACAAGUCCGUCGGGAAAUCGACGUGCUCAACGCGUCGGCGUCCGGCGGAAACUGUACGGCUUGGGGCCGGAAGACCUGAGGGGUACGUCCGGGGUAGGAGUGAAAUCCUGUAAUCCUGGACGGACCACCGGUGGCGAAAGCGCCUCAGGAAGACGGACCCGACAGUGAGGGACGAAAGCUUGGGUCUCGAACCGGAUUAGAAACCCGGGUAGUCC